UCGUGGUGACCAGCGGAGGGAUCAUUACCGAGUUUACAACUCCCAAACCCCUGUGAACAUACCACUUGUUGCCUCGGCGGAUCAGCCCGCUCCCGGUAAAACGGGACGGCCCGCCAGAGGACCCCUAAACUCUGUUUCUAUAUGUAACUUCUGAGUAAAACCAUAAAUAAAUCAAAACUUUCAACAACGGAUCUCUUGGUUCUGGCAUCGAUGAAGAACGCAGCAAAAUGCGAUAAGUAAUGUGAAUUGCAGAAUUCAGUGAAUCAUCGAAUCUUUGAACGCACAUUGCGCCCGCCAGUAUUCUGGCGGGCAUGCCUGUUCGAGCGUCAUUUCAACCCUCAAGCACAGCUUGGUGUUGGGGCUCGCGUUAAUUCGCGUUCCCCAAAUUGAUUGGCGGUCACGUCGAGCUUCCAUAGCGUAGUAGUAAAACCCUCGUUACUGGUAAUCGUCGCGGCCACGCCGUUAAACCCCAACUUCUGAAUGUUGACCUCGGAUCAGGUAGGAAUACCCGCUGAACUUAAGCAUAUCAAUAAGCGGAGGAA
Molecule: ribosomal RNA, 542 nt
Filed under: uncultured Fusarium
Lineage: Eukaryota; Fungi; Ascomycota; Sordariomycetes; Hypocreales; Nectriaceae
Description: eukaryotic LSU rRNA
Rfam family: 5.8S ribosomal RNA (bases 176-329)
Source: RNAcentral